This 433-nucleotide ribosomal RNA is filed under the name uncultured bacterium. Its description in RNAcentral is "partial 16S ribosomal RNA". It matches the Rfam family "Bacterial small subunit ribosomal RNA", at positions 29 to 507 of the family's 1533-position model. The record is from RNAcentral.
AACGAACGCUGGCGGCAUGCCUAACACAUGCAAGUCGAACGAGACCUUCGGGUCUAGUGGCGCACGGGUGCGUAACGCGUGGGAACCUGCCCUUAGGUUCGGAAUAACUCCCCGAAAGGGGUGCUAAUACCGGAUAAUGUCUUCGGACCAAAGAUUUAUCGCCUUUGGAUGGGCCCGCGUUGGAUUAGCUAGUUGGUAGGGUAAAAGCCUACCAAGGCGACGAUCCAUAGCUGGUCUGAGAGGAUGAUCAGCCACACUGGGACUGAGACACGGCCCAGAAUCCUACGGGAGGGAGCAGUGGGGAAUAUUGGAAAAUGGGCGAAAGCCUGAUCCAGCAAUGCCGCGUGAGUGAUGAAGGCCUUAGGGUUGUAAAGCUCUUUUACCCGGGAUGAUAAUGACAGUACCGGGAGAAUAAGCUCCGGCUAACUCCGUG